This 1090-nucleotide long non-coding RNA is filed under the name Homo sapiens (human). RNAcentral describes it as "novel transcript". The record is from RNAcentral. Lineage: Eukaryota; Metazoa; Chordata; Mammalia; Primates; Hominidae.
GAGACUCAGCCUGCCUGCACCCAGGUGAUUAAAAAGCUUUAUUGCUCACACAAAGCCUGUUUGGCGGUCUCUUCACACGGAUGUGAGUGAAAUUUGGUCCCGAAAUUUGGUGCCGUGACUCGGAUCAGGGGCGUGGGGGGGUGGGGACCUCCCUUGGGAGAUCAAUCCCCUGUCCUCCUGCUCUUUGCUCCGUGAGAAAGAUCUACUUACGACCUCUGGUCCUCAGACCAACCAGCCCAAGGAACAUCUCACCAAUUUUAAAUCGGGACCCCACUGUUCAACUCACCUGGCAGCCACUCCCAGAGCCCCUGGAACUCUGGCCCAAGGCUCUCUGACUGACUCCUUCCCAGAUUUACUCGGCUUAGCGGCUGAAGACCGAUGCUGCCCGAUUGCCUCGGAAGCCCCCUAGACCAUCACGGACGCCAAGCUUUGGGUAACUCUCACAGUGGAGGGGGGGAAACACUGUGGACUGGCAUGCUGCUGGCCACCACUUCCCAGCUGAAGACUCAGGAGCGCCAUGUGGAAGAACUCAUCUCACAGAUAUUGGCAAAAGCUACCAAGCAGGACUUGAUUUAUUGUUUUGUUCAUUGUCUAGACUAAGAAAGUGAUGAAAUGUUAAUAAUGGAUAAUGAUUAAUGAAAUGGAUAAUGAAAAUGAAAAAUAAUUAAUGUAAAUUAAAUGUGAAAGUGUGUCCUACUUGUAGCUGUUAUACUGUGAAUAACUUUAAGAAGAAACCUUAGUAAAUAUUCCUCCAGUUUUCAAAAAUUAUUUUCUAGUUCGGCAAAGAAGUCAUUCACAUCACUGAUAAAUGAAUGAAGUUCUAACAGAUGUCUUUAUUGAUUCACUUUUAUUUUAUUUGUUAACAUAAAUGAAAAUACAGGUGAUGUUCAUGUCAGAACACUUUCAUCAAAUGCAACCACAGUUUGGCUAUGAAUAUAGAAGCCUGGCAAAAAUCAAUAAAAGCAGUCUGUGAGAAUCAAUUGAUUAUAAGGAAUUUCCAAUAAAGAAUAUUAUAUAUGUUGUUACUUGUAAAUAGCAUGAUAUACCUUCUUUAUAUCAGAAAAGUUUAUAAUAAAGUUAUGUGUGUAUG